This 492-nucleotide ribosomal RNA is filed under the name uncultured bacterium. Its description in RNAcentral is "partial 16S ribosomal RNA". It matches the Rfam family "Bacterial small subunit ribosomal RNA", at positions 30 to 507 of the family's 1533-position model. The record is from RNAcentral.
AGUGAACGCUGGCGGUAGGCCUAACACAUGCAAGUCGAACGGCAGCACAGUAAGAGCUUGCUCUUACGGGUGGCGAGUGGCGGACGGGUGAGGAAUACAUCGGAAUCUACUUUUUCGUGGGGGAUAACGUAGGGAAACUUACGCUAAUACCGCAUACGACCUACGUGUGAAAUCAUGGAAUCUUCUGACCUUGCGCGAUUGAAUGAGCCGAUGUCGGUUUAGCUAGUUGGCGGGGUAAAGGCCCACCAAGGCGACGAUCCGUAGCUGGUCUGAGAGGAUGAGCAGGCAAACUGGAAGGGGGAAACGGGCCAGAAGACUACGGGAGGGAGGAGUGGGGAAUAGUGGACAAUGGGGGGAAGGCGGAUCCAGGCAAACCGGGGGGGGGAAGAAGGGAUUAGGGGUGUAAAGGCCUUUUGGUGGGAAAGAAAAGGAGGAAGGUAAAAACCCGGUGUUCUGACGGGAACCAAAGAAAAAGCACCGGCUAACUUCGUG